AAGUUAGCAUCACAUAGA
This 18-nucleotide small nuclear RNA is filed under the name Arabidopsis thaliana (thale cress). RNAcentral describes it as "snRNA_03620". Lineage: Eukaryota; Viridiplantae; Streptophyta; Magnoliopsida; Brassicales; Brassicaceae. The record is from RNAcentral.